RNAcentral lists this ribosomal RNA (460 nucleotides) under uncultured bacterium. Its description in RNAcentral is "partial 16S ribosomal RNA". It matches the Rfam family "Bacterial small subunit ribosomal RNA", at positions 338 to 795 of the family's 1533-position model. The record is from RNAcentral.
GCUACGGGUGGCUGCAGUGAGGAAUAUUGGUCAAUGGGCGAGAGCCUGAACCAGCCAAGUCGCGUGAAGGAUGACGGCUCUACGGGUUGUAACCUUCUUUUGUCAGGGAGCAAUUGAGUCCACGUGUGGGCUUAGCGCGAGUAGCUGAAGAAAAGGCAUCGGCUAACUCCGUGCCAGCAGGCGCGGUAAUACGGGGGAUGCGCGCGUUAUCCGGAUUUAUUGGGGUUAAAGGUUUCGUAGUCGGAAUAUCAAGUCAGCGGUAAAAAUUCGGGGCUCAACACCGUCGUGCCGUUGAAACUGAUGUUCUUGAGUGGGCGAGAAGUAUGCGGAAUGCGUGGUGUAGCGGUGAAAUGCAUAGAUAUCACGCAGAACUCCGAUGGCGAAGGCAGCAUACCGGCGCCCAACUGACGCUGAAGCACGAAAGCGUGGGUAUCGAACAGGAUUAGAUACCCUUGUAGUC